AAACCGUURAAAGGGAAGCGAAUGGAGUUAGCAAUUCGCCCUGCCAGAUUCAGUUGUUCGCACUUYGCGACGUGCACGYUCUCGAUCCGCAUGGACGAGACGUGCACGGACGCGACGUGUGGACGGCGCACUUCUGGCGGGCGAGCGUCAGCGUCGCUCGUCGACGGGCGACAAGGUCGCGAGGAAGGUAGACGUGCCUUCGGGCGCGUUGUUAAGACUCGCGUUCGCAURGCUCGACGACGACCGUGGCUCCUUCAUGCGGAGGCGACGCGUGCCUGGCUGGCGACUCGUGCGAUCGGUCCGGCAUGUCGACCGUGGCGGACGGCACGCCUGUGCGCUCGAACUGCUGCCGGUCGCUCGCACGAUGUUCGCACACUACGCGUCSAAGACGCUGACGACCAUACGGCUCCAUCCGACCCGUCUUGAAACACGGACCAAGGAGUCUAACAUGUGCGCGAGUCUCCGGGUGAUCGAAACCCGUGGGCGCAAUGAAAGUAAAGGCC
RNAcentral lists this ribosomal RNA (503 nucleotides) under Sclerophytum wanannense. RNAcentral's name for it is "partial 28S ribosomal RNA". It matches the Rfam family "Eukaryotic large subunit ribosomal RNA", at positions 402 to 733 of the family's 3401-position model. Lineage: Eukaryota; Metazoa; Cnidaria; Anthozoa; Malacalcyonacea; Sarcophytidae. The record is from RNAcentral.